UAUGUAAGUUAGUGGCGGACGGGUGAGUAACGCGUGGGUAACCUGCCUCGUACAGGGGGAUAACAGUUGGAAACGGCUGCUAAUACCGCAUAAGCGCACAGUACCGCAUGGUACGGUGUGAAAAACUCCGGUGGUAUGAGAUGGACCCGCGUCUGAUUAGGUAGUUGGUGGGGUAACGGCCUACCAAGCCGACGAUCAGUAGCCGACCUGAGAGGGUGACCGGCCACAUUGGGACUGGGACACGGCCCAA
Molecule: ribosomal RNA, 250 nt
Filed under: uncultured bacterium
Lineage: Bacteria
Description: partial 16S ribosomal RNA
Rfam family: Bacterial small subunit ribosomal RNA
Source: RNAcentral